Molecule: ribosomal RNA, 300 nt
Filed under: uncultured bacterium
Lineage: Bacteria
Description: partial 16S ribosomal RNA
Rfam family: Bacterial small subunit ribosomal RNA
Source: RNAcentral
GCGAAAUGCGGGCUAGGCGCGGGGGUGAGACGGAUGGUGCGGGCGUUAAUCGGAAUGACUGGGCGGAAAGCGAGCGCAGACGGUUAUUUAAGCAAGGUGUGAAAGCCCCGGGCUCAACCUGGGAACUGCGUUUUGAACUGGGUAACUAGAGUGUGGCAGAGGGGGGUAGAAUUCCACGUGUAGCAGUGAAAUGCGUAGAGAUGUGGAGGAAUACCGAUGGCGAAGGCAGCCCCCUGGGAUAACACUGACGUUCAUGCUCGAAAGCGUGGGUAGCAAACAGGAUUAGAUACCCGGGUAGUC